GGGUGUGGAACCUGCAGCUGAACGAACUGCUUGCCGCCUCAUCGCAGCAGGGCUCGCGAGGUCUCAUUGCAGAGCGCAGACUCGUGACUAGCUCAGUCGAAAGAAAAAGCAACGGUUACGAGGGCCAGUUCAACGAUGGGCAUCACUCGCGCCGUCAGCAUCACGUGCAUGGAUGAGUGUGCGACGAUUUUGAUUACCGUCUGCCACCCGACAAGCUGUCGAGGCACACCGCACACUACAACGCGUGCAAGCGGAAACCCCGAUGUCUGCAGGUGGUGUGCUGGCAUGUCAAUGCCGUGACACGGACAUGCUCGGCUUGCCUCAGACAUGGCUUGGCCGAAAACAAUGUGGUCAAGGCUGUGCAAACAGAGCUUUCUUAAAAUGAAAUAUACAUGAAAUGUUUUGGUUCCCCCAUACCACAUCUUUCAAUGAAGUUUAAGCUCAUAUAGUACAACAAGUAAACAAAGGAAACAAGGACAUACAAUUAAAACUUAUGUACAGUAGUGAAUGCAGACCUUGUCACCAUUUCUCCAACUUUACUGGCCAACUGGUGCUUUUCAGGUUUGGUAUAAUUCUACAACCGAAGACAAUUUCUUAUGCUUUAAUAAAAAGCGUUCUUUAAUACAGCCAGAACGCGUUAUAAGGAAUCGCAUCCAGCAUGAAAAUAACUUCGUUAUACCCAAUAUUUGUUAGUGGAACCUCGUCGAUACGUUCCCGUUACGUACGUUUUCCAGGCGCAGCAACGUUUGCAAUGGAGAACACAAAUAUGACCCAAUAGAGUUGCGCUCGUUUCUAACCGGUUCAUGCGUUCCCGGAAAACUCGAUAUUCCGGCACAAACGUUCAGCACGUUGCCAAACUGCGAUGGUACGUAUGAUACGUUUCGCGGCCGCUGGACCCCGUGUAAACAAGAAAAUGCGCGAGGCCCGCGCGAGUAUAUAGCUACCCGCUGCGGCAGCUUCCGCAAUACUCGCCCGCCCGUCUUACGUGAAAACGCCGGCGCGCACUCAGUUUCUAAUUUCGGUACCAGCGAAUCUUCUCCGGCGUCACCGCACGCAGCAUUCACAGCUAUCACCGCCAAUCAUAUUGCGAUAAGUAUCUUCGCCUAUCUGUUUCACAUCGCGUGGUGCCAUCGGAAGCGUAGCCCACGCUUUUAAAGGGACACUAAAGGCAAAUAUUAAGUCAAGCUAAAGUGAUAGAUUAGUGCUUGAGAACCUCUAAUAUAAUCGCGAACAGAGCCUUAAUAAUCGUGAAAUUGAGGUAAAUGCAGCACAGCACAUGAUUAGACACUCUUCCGGGACAUUCAAGUACUUGCCCGAUGACGAAAGCUCCUCAAAUUCUGUCACUAGUACUCAACCACUCGUUGCACAGAACAUCCUUGUAUUGUAUUAUAAGACGAAAUAAAAUGCUACUUGUUCAGUUCUAUUUUAAUUUUAGAAAAAUAUAACUCAUUGAAAUAAUCCUGACAAUGACGCGGGCAGUCGAAAGGUUUCGUUUUCGUUCGAUUCCGCGCUGCCCACGCUUUCGCGUUUCAUUCGUUUCGUUAUCGCGUAGAGCUGCGCUGGUUUUGCUGGCUCGCAAAACUCGCACGAACUGCAAGUAGCGAAGAAUUCAACUUCCAUAAGAUGACACGGGAUGCCCGAACGGUCUUUGCCACUUGACCAAAAAGCGGCUUCAGCGGCGAAUCUGCCGCUCUGGAUAGAUGGAUGGAUGGAUGGAUAUGAUAUGAUAUGAGCGUCCCCUUUGGAACGGGGCGGUGGGUUACGUCACCAAGCUCUUGCUAUUAUACUGCCUAAUGUCUUACCUAGGUUAAACAAUAAAAAAGAGAGAAAAAAUACACUAUGAACUACCCCACCCAAAUUUUCUGAUCCCCUAUUUCGAACUGUGCUUUUGUACGCCUCCGUUUUUUGUCGUUUCCCUACUUUUCCUCCACCUUGGCCCGAUACCGCCGUAUGACGGGCUAGGUUUUACUCACCGACAACAGCAAAGGGUGGUGAUGGCGUAUGCAACGUUUCCACUCCCCGGGUUAGAUGGUGGGAGAUUUGAAUUUCGAAAAAGGUAUUCGGACAUUUCAGAUGCAAUUUUCUCGGUGGGAGUCUUUUCUUGGCACGAAACAAGCGUUGCGAGGUUUCUGGAAUGGUACUUAAACAGUCCACAUCGGCUUCGUAUUUCUCGUAAAAGCGAUGACCACCUCAUCGAGCAAUUUAUAUCAAGGGUUAAAAUUGUGCUAUCUGCCAUAGGCAAUCAUUAAAAAGUUUGGUGCAGCUGAAAAAAAAAAAAAAAAAAAAAUCUGUGCCUUUCCGCUGCGUGAAGAAGGAUGAUCAGCGAAGCUGUGAUUGUAAAUCUGGGCCCCUUACUGGCGAACUGCACCUUCGCCGUGGAUCGGAACGGCAUUACACUAUCUUCGGGAUCGGCCUACGUGGCGAGUGCUUAACGCCUGCUUCACCUUCGCCGUGGGUCGGCCCGGCAUUUUACUAUCUUCGGAAUCAACCCACGUAUGGGGAGCGCUUAACGCCUACUUCACUUCCCCCGCGGAUCGGCCCGGUAUCGCGCUAACUUAGGGAGCGGUCCACGUAUUAAAAAUAGCUGGUAUAUGUCCACGGAGACUAGAUCCGCCAGAACCUAGUCAUAAACAGCUUCGCUGUAGAGAGA
Long non-coding RNA from Dermacentor andersoni, 2650 nucleotides. RefSeq lists it as uncharacterized. NCBI's taxonomy places the organism in Eukaryota, Metazoa, Arthropoda, Arachnida, Ixodida, Ixodidae. The record is from RefSeq and is a predicted model, not a curated record.